This 538-nucleotide long non-coding RNA is filed under the name Rosa chinensis. RNAcentral describes it as "sRNA RchiOBHm_Chr4g0424311". Lineage: Eukaryota; Viridiplantae; Streptophyta; Magnoliopsida; Rosales; Rosaceae. The record is from RNAcentral.
CGCACCGCCGCCGCCGGAUACCUCGAUCUCCGGCCAUUGAAUUUGGACACCGCCGCCAGCAAAUGAAGCGGCUUGGAACGGCGAACAAAGCCUGAGCCCUAGCGCCACCUUCCACUGCUUCUAUUCUCCACACGUGCACCUCAAAGUCGCUGCCCACUGUUCCCUGAUUUUCUUCUUCAUAUUUCCAGUUACCAUCUCGCCAUUCCACCAUCACCGCUCGACUCAGAAUUCACCGGAGAUCGAAACCGAGAAGCCCCGCUGCCAACCCGAAGCUGGACAACGCCGUACGGGCCAUCGCGUGAGCUGGAAGCUCCCCAACUCUUCAAUCUCCAAUCUUCCGUCCAAAUUGAGCCACACCGCCACCAUAAACAAAACUGCUACUCACCAUUCAUCAAAACCAUUUGAUUCCGACCUCCAUUUCCGACCACAGCCACCGAGCCGCUGUGGAUUCCGCAAUGAGCGCUGCCACCAGUUUACUUAUUCUGUUCGGUUAGCCUAUUUUUGAAACCUCUCUGGUGGAGACAUCUAGAUUAAUACG